UCUGAGAACACAAGCCUAAGGCACACAAG
RNAcentral lists this non-coding RNA (29 nucleotides) under Mus musculus (house mouse). The record is from RNAcentral. Lineage: Eukaryota; Metazoa; Chordata; Mammalia; Rodentia; Muridae.